Molecule: ribosomal RNA, 253 nt
Filed under: uncultured bacterium
Lineage: Bacteria
Description: partial 16S ribosomal RNA
Rfam family: Bacterial small subunit ribosomal RNA
Source: RNAcentral
UACAGAGGGUGCGAGCGUUAAUCGGAAUUACUGGGCGUAAAGCGCACGUAGGUGGCGACGUAAGUCGGGUGUGAAAGCCCCGGGCUCAACCUGGGAAUAGCGCUUAAGACUGGAGUGCUCGAGUGCGGAAGAGGCAACUGGAAUUCCCAGUGUAGCGGUGAAAUGCGUAGAUAUUGGGAAGAACACCGGAGGCGAAGGCGGGUUGCUGGGCCGACACUGACGCUGAGGCGCGAAAGCCAGGGGAGCAAACGGG